GAGCAACUUAGGAUUUUAGGCUCCCCGGCAUGACCUCGAAACCAUGCCGGGCCAAACCACCGGGGCUGGCGGUCCCCGGAUGGUCAAAAUUCCAUCCGCCGGAG
The submitters of this non-coding RNA (104 nucleotides) gave its source as unclassified sequences. The record is from Rfam.